Elaeis guineensis (African oil palm) is the source of this 2382-nucleotide non-coding RNA. Lineage: Eukaryota; Viridiplantae; Streptophyta; Magnoliopsida; Arecales; Arecaceae. The record is from RefSeq and is a predicted model, not a curated record.
AUGAUUUAUGCCUCGUCCUCUCAGUUUUUGUUUGAUUUUCCUAUAUGUUUCCUAGAAGUGGUUUUAGUUUUAUAUCAAGUUUCAACUAUUGGAAUGGUGCUGUUAGAGCUUAGGAUUAAAUUAUGUCAAAUACUUCUUAGACAGACAGAUGGCGGCGAUGGAUGAAGGGAGGGAGAUGAAUAACAAUAACACUGUGAUGUGUCUGCUGACAAAUCCUGAAGGAGAGCCACUUGGUGCUCCACUCUAUCUCCCGCAAAAUGCUGGUCCACCUCAGCUCCAGGAAAUCGUCAACAAGCUUCUUAACAAUGAGGAGAAGUUGCCUUAUGCAUUUUACAUAUCAGACCAGGAGCUUGUCGUUCAGCUAGGGACUUACUUGCAGCAGAAAAAAGUUUCGGUGGAGAAGGUUAUACGCAUAGUCUACCAACCACAAGCGAUUUUUCGAAUCCGUCCAGUCAACCGUUGCUCUGCAACAAUUGCUGGUCAUACAGAAGCUGUGCUAUCUGUUGCCUUCAGCCCUGAUGGAUAUAAUUUGGCCAGUGGUUCUGGUGACACCACUGUACGGUUAUGGGACCUCAAUACACAGACUCCACUCUUCACAUGCUCAGGCCAUAAAAAUUGGGUGCUCUCUAUUGCAUGGUCACCAGAUGGUAAACAUCUUGUGAGUGGUAGCAAGGCUGGAGAACUUUUAACAUGGGACCCACAAACUGGGAAGCAGUCUGGUGGUCCACUUAUUGGCCACAAGAAGUGGAUUACUGGUAUAUCUUGGGAGCCUGUACACCUGCAAGCUCCUUGUCGCCGUUUUGUGAGUUCCAGUAAGGAUGGGGAUGCACGUAUUUGGGAUAUUUCUUUGAGGAAAUGUCUUAUUUGCCUUACUGGUCAUACUUUGGCAGUGACGUGUGUAAAAUGGGGUGGUGACGGGAUGAUAUACACAAGCUCUCAGGAUUGCACAAUCAAAGUUUGGGAAACUUCUCGGGGAAAGUUGAUCCGUGAAUUGAAGGGGCAUGGGCAUUGGGUAAAUUCCCUUGCUUUGAGCACUGAAUAUAUUCUCCGGACUGGGGCGUUUGAUCAUACGGGAAAAACAUAUUCUUCACCAGAGGGUAUGAAGGAGGCAGCUCUUGCAAGAUACAACAAAAUGAAAGGUAAUGCUCCUGAGAGAUUGGUUUCAGGUUCUGAUGAUUUCACAAUGUUUCUUUGGGAACCUGCAAUCAGUAAGCAUCCAAAAGCUCGCCUGACUGGUCAUCAACAGAUGGGCAGUGGUUGGCUAGUGCAUCGUUUGACAAAUCUGUCAAGUUGUGGAAUGGUAUUACAGGGAAGUUUGUCACAUCCUUUCGAGGGCAUGUUGGGCCUGUAUACCAGAUCAGCUGGUCGGCUGACAGUAGGCUUCUGCUAAGUGGAAGCAAGGAUUCCACGCUAAAGGUGUGGGAUAUCAGAACACACAAACUGAAGCAAGACCUUCCAGGCCAUGCGGAUGAGGUUUUUGCUGUGGAUUGGAGUCCUGACGGUGAAAAGGUAGCAUCUGGUGGAAAGGAUAGGGUGCUCAAGCUGUGGAUGAAUUAGGCAUAAACCAACUUGAAGCAAGUAUUGGACAAACCAGAUUGUUGCAUGCGUGCAGAGUGCUCAAUAUAUAUUCAUAAUAGAUCCCCUUGAUCGAACUGAUUGCAAGUUCAAACGACAUGUCUGCACGUUCAAAGUGAGAGAGGCCCAAUAGCUUGGUGCCAACGAAUAUUGUGCGCUGCCACCUUGUACGGGAAGAGUUGAAAGUGCUACAGGUUUGCUAAUCUGCUCGAGGAAGUCGAGCCAUUACUGAUGCCCGUUAUAGGGGUAACAAUGGAAGAUUUUGGUUUCUUGUAAUGCAUGCUAUCCUUGGUUUCUGGUAAGCAUACUGGCUAAUUGAAGCUGUUAGAUUAUUUGGUUUGUUGAAAUUGAUUGUGGAGCUGGUAUUUGGAGCAACGUUCGUAGAAUCUCCCAUAGGGCUUAGUGUUUGGAGCAACCUUAUGAGAAUCAAUCUCUCAUAGGGUUUAGUCUUUGCUGCACGGGCUUUCUAGUUCAUCUUCAGCAUAGGCUUCUAGUACCAGAAGUUCAAAGGCAACGAUGUGAAGAAGGCCGACAAGCCCUAUUCGAUGAUGAAAUAUGAGUUCUUCUACUAGUCUACUGGCUGAUCUAGGUACUGGCAGUUACCGACCUUUAGGAGAUUUUUAGGUGAUCUCUUUUUCUCAUGUUGUUAGCUGAGGGUUGGUCGUACAGGCCUCUACUUCUGGGUAUGUUUGUCUGUUGCUGGUCCCUUGAGGUAAGCAGGUUAGCCUGAGAUGUGCGAUCAAAUUAAAUUAUUCUGUAAUUACCUCUUGUUCUUUACAAUGGCAUUUAUUUUUCACCUUCUUUCUC